RNAcentral lists this ribosomal RNA (866 nucleotides) under uncultured bacterium. RNAcentral's name for it is "bacterial SSU rRNA". It matches the Rfam family "Bacterial small subunit ribosomal RNA", at positions 28 to 862 of the family's 1533-position model. The record is from RNAcentral.
GACGAACGCUGGCGGCGUGCCUAAUACAUGCAAGUCGAGCGAGUGAAACAACAUGAUCCCUUCGGGGUGAUUGUUGUGGAUCUAGCGGCGGACGGGUGAGUAACACGUGGGUAACCUACCUGAGAGAUCGGGAUAACCCCGGGAAACCGGGGCUAAUACCGAAUAAUCGUUGGAACUGCAUGGUUCCAGCGUAAAAGGCGGCUUUUGCCGUCACUUUCAGAUGGACCCGCGGCGCAUUAGCUAGUUGGUAAGGUAACGGCUUACCAAGGCAACGAUGCGUAGCCGACCUGAGAGGGUGAUCGGCCACACUGGGACUGAGACACGGCCCAGACUCCUACGGGAGGCAGCAGUAGGGAAUCUUCCGCAAUGGACGAAAGUCUGACGGAGCAACGCCGCGUGAACGAUGAAGGUCUUCGGAUCGUAAAGUUCUGUUGUUAGGGAAGAACAAGUACCAGAGGAAAUGCUGGUACCUUGACGGUACCUAACCAGAAAGCCACGGCUAACUACGUGCCAGCAGCCGCGGUAAUACGUAGGUGGCAAGCGUUGUCCGGAAUUAUUAGGCGUAAAGCGCGCGCAGGCGGUUCCUUAAGUCUGAUGUGAAAGCCCACAGCUCAACUGCGGAGGGCCAUUGGAAACUGGGGAACUUGAGUACAGAAGAGGAGAGCGGAAUUCCACGUGUAGCGGUGAAAUGCGUAGAUAUGUGGAGGAACACCAGUGGCGAAGGCGGCUCUCUGGUCUGUAACUGACGCUGAGGCGCGAAAGCGUGGGUAGCAAACAGGAUUAGAUACCCUGGUAGUCCACGCCGUAAACGUUGAGUGCUAAGUGUUAGGGGGUUUCCGCCCCUUAGUGCUGAAGUUAACGCAUUA